Molecule: long non-coding RNA, 652 nt
Organism: Pipra filicauda (Wire-tailed manakin)
Lineage: Eukaryota; Metazoa; Chordata; Aves; Passeriformes; Pipridae
Exons: 2
Source: RefSeq, a predicted model, not a curated record
UCCCUUGCGUUUUGGGGGGGAUGUACUAAGAUACUCUGAGCCUUGCACUUCAAGACUUAAAACUCAUUUUUCACCACCCUUCUUGUUCAACAAACCUUAGACAGCUGUGAAAGUGAUGUGAUGAUCCUCGCCCCACAUGAGACAGUGGGAUAAGCCCAGGAAUCCAGCCAGUGUUACCACUCAGGCACUACAGAGCUGUGAUGAAAACAGGUUUAAAUAAAUUCCACAGAGCAGACACUACAGGCACGGGUGCUGUCCAGGUACACUCGAACUCAUUAUUCAGGAUUCUACUGGAACUACUAUCUUCAGAUGUGAGAGAGAACUUGCACCUGCUAGGACUUAGUGUCCCACCACUGUGACAUCCCACUCUUAAGGGUAGGAUGUCACAAUUACACAGUUUUGUCUCAUCAACAGUUCAGCACCACGUGGAGGAAGUUCCCCUCUACCAGGAAGCACAGAGGUGGCAGUUAUUUAUCUUCAGAGUGCAGCCUGCUCUACAAACACCUGUCCAGGAAUGUGUCCAAUCCCUGUUCCACUGUGCAGCUUUGUGUCCCAACAGCAUCUCUGUGCUGUCAACUCUGAUACACUACUGAGAAGGAAGUCCCUCAAAAUUGGUGGAGGGGAUAAAAGACAGAAAUGUACAAAAGUUAAA